UGAGCUGUGAUGGGGAGAAGACAUUGUGUCUUCGAGUCGUUGAUUUCACACUGCCGAGAAAAGCCUCUAGAUAGAAAAUAGGUGCCCGUACCGCAAACCGACACAGGUAGUCAAGAUGAGAAUUCUAAGGUGAGCGAGCGAACUCUCGUUAAGGAACUCGGCAAAAUGACCCCGUAACUUCGGGAGAAGGGGUGCUCUUUAGGGUUAACGCCCAGAAGAGCCGCAGUGAAUAGGCCCAAGCGACUGUUUAUCAAAAACACAGGUCUCUGCUAAACCGUAAGGUGAUGUAUAGGGGCUGACGCCUGCCCGGUGCUGGAAGGUUAAGAGGAGUGGUUAGCUUCUGCGAAGCUACGAAUCGAAGCCCCAGUAAACGGCGGCCGUAACUAUAACGGUCCUAAGGUAGCGAAAUUCCUUGUCGGGUAAGUUCCGACCCGCACGAAAGGCGUAACGAUUUGGGCACUGUCUCAACGAGAGACUCGGUGAAAUCAUAGUACCUGUGAAGAUGCAGGUUACCCGCGACAGGACGGAAAGACCCCGUGGAGCUUUACUGUAGCCUGAUAUUGAAAUUCGGCACAGCUUGUACAGGAUAGGUAGGAGCCUUUGAAACGUGAGCGCUAGCUUACGUGGAGGCGCUGGUGGG
Molecule: ribosomal RNA, 640 nt
Filed under: Staphylococcus aureus
Lineage: Bacteria; Bacillati; Bacillota; Bacilli; Caryophanales; Staphylococcaceae
Description: partial 23S ribosomal RNA
Rfam family: Bacterial large subunit ribosomal RNA
Source: RNAcentral